GGUAAGCUCAGUAGGGUGUGUUAGAACAGGUGGGUGUGAUCUCCGCACCUCGCUGUCCUCUCCAGGUGGAAACGUGCUAGAGAAGGUGACAGGUUACUCCCAGGGGCCCUUCUGUCGCCCGGCUUCCCUCUGCUUCACAUCCACGCGGCUCCUUGGAGGCGCCUGCCCAGCCCUGACCAUGGUGACCUCGCCUGGGAGCCGCACCCAAAGCCCCCGGGGCUGUUAGAGCUGCAUUUUGCAAGUUCGGGGCUUUCCCUAAUCCAAGAUUGCUGAACUGGUUCCGGGAGGGCUGAGCUUUCCCAAGGCUGUAAUCCCAGAUCAGGAACAGACAGCUUCUCAAAUAUCCCGGCAGGUGGACCUUCCCAGAGAUUGGUGUCCGUUGUGUUGGAGGGUGGGAAUGGGGUGGCACGCAGGCCCUGGGGUUCCCGCCCGGAAAGAGACCACAGAGGGCAGUGGGCUGUCCUAGCCGAUGGGAGUAGGGGACAGCUAGGACGGGGAGGGGUGCUCUCGGGUCUGACCCUGACCUGCGGCGGCUCCUCCCCCUUGGAUCUUCCCAGUUUUCGGCAGAACAUCCUAAAAUGUCAUCGUGGGAGUCUUAGCAGGGACCUGUAGACUUCACACCUGGCUCUCAAUGAACACAGCUCAACCAGAAAAUGAGGUUAUUUUCAAGUCGGUUAUAGACAUAGUUGUUUCUUUUCAGAGGGUUUUCUUUUUUAUGUGCGUGUAACGUGAACCCAAGUGAAACACUAGAGCAGCUGCCCUGGGGUUUCUGAAGGAGCCCGAGUUUCCUCUCAGGCCCAUGGGUAAGCGAGUAGCCACCCUGCAGGUGAGGAGGGACCAGCCGUGCCACGGGGCGACCCUGAGCCACAGCGAUCGGAGGGCCUCCCUCCUCUAGCCGGGUCACCUUGUCAUUAACCGUGAAUUCACUUGACGUUUUGUUUGUGAAAGCUGAUGUGUUUCCUCCGAGGGCGCGUGCUCCCGGCUGUCUGCAGCCCAGCUGGAGUUUCCCUGUGGAACAGGACUUGCGCGAGGGCCUGGGUCCACACGGCCCCCGUGUCAUCUUGUAAGGUGGCGCUCAAGUCGGCUGCAGGGCGAUGAAGACCUUGAGCCCCUCAGAUGGGAACGCGUACUCUGAGCCCAGUUCUGUCACUUUCUGGCACCAGUGCAGGCGGUUUGCCUCUCCCGGCUGACGUCAGAGUGACCGGCAGGAAGGAAGAGGGACAGCGGGGGUGUGGGCAGACCCUGCUUUGUGACCUAUAGUCUCUGUCCUGAAGCCACGGCCAGAGACCGUCUGUCCUGCCGCCGAUGGUCCGGGAGCACUUGGGGGCGGCACAUACACCCGGCUGUGCCCCCUGCUCCAUCCAGGAAGUGACCCCUGCGGAAGCCCCCACAGCACCACCCUUCACGGUGCCCUGGGAAACAGGUCAGUGCCAGCCGUCGACAGGAAGCUCUCGGUCACUGGGAGCCUUCAGACCAGCCCGAGGUUCUCUGGGGCUCCCCGACUGGGCCACGCCGUCAGGGGGACGCCUGGGGGAGCCGCACACCUUUCCCGGACCCGCCUGCAGCAGAUUGGCAGGUUGUCCCGUGACACAGUACAGCGUUACGUGGCCAGCCGCCCCAUGGUUGACCCUGUGCCCCGCGAGCGCCCUACCAGUGCCCCCCGCGUGGCCCCCUUGCUGCGGCCACUCCCGCCACUGAGCCAGCGCAGAGGACGCUGCAGGAGGCCGGGGCUGCCGUGACAUUCUCGCUGCAGCGUUCGCUUGAAGACACCAGCUCUGAGCCCUUCCGGGGUCGUUACACACUGAAGGAAGCCCCAGGAUGACAGCCACAGGCUCCGUCACGGGCACCGCCGUGAAAGGGCCACGCCGAGCCCGCCCACAGAGGUCCUGGGACAGGCCUCCGUCUGUGAAGACGUGCACCGGGUUAAAAUCCUUACCGUGAGGUGUGAAAACGCCCUGUGCGGCUCCGGUGGUGGGCGUAGCACGUUCAGCGUAUGUGGCUUUUCUGAGUGUGUUCACGUUUGCCUUGAAUGACGUUUGUUUUCCUGGCAUGUUGCAUCCGCUGGGCCCCCCCCCCCCCCCCCCCCCCCCCCUGCUGCCUGCGGCCGCCGCGUGUAACAUGUUUAGGAUGGAGGGGGCCGUGUGGCCGGGGAACCCACAGUGCGUGUUUAGCGGGGCAUCCACAGGCCGCCUGGGCCAAACUGUACUUUCCAGAACCCCGGGCCCCCUCGUGGUUUUGCUGUGGAUGAAGCGUGCCUGUCUCGUGCCCGUCCUUCGCCUCCGUAACCCCGGCCCUUCCCCGCUGGCCCUUCGUCCUGCAGGGUGCUGGCUCCCCUGGCAGGAACGCCUCGUACGGCCGGGGCUCCCCCCACGGCACACCGCCAUCUUCACCCCUGCCCUUCCACGGGCAGACUUGCUGCCCGGAUGGGAGGUGAGCGGGCCGCGGGUGACCGCAUUGAACCUCUGGUGUCCAGGCAGAAAAGACGAUGUGGGGCACAUUAGUGCGAAUAGAAAUAACGACCCCACCCCCCACCCCAAAAAACGAAACUAGCCUUUUGUUUUCAUUCUGUGAUUUCAUAAAGCAUCAACCUUGACCCCAGAAAGCUUGGAAACAGGUACUGUGCAUUUAGGAACUGAGUCGGUUUGGUAAGUUGGAUUUUUCAACCCCGCCGGCAGGGAUAUUAUGAACGUAGAGGUUCCUCGAGGGCGUGUGUGUGGCCAAGGGGACCAGACCCUCCAGGCCUGCCCACGUGGGCGAGGGCCAGAGCCCCUCGGACACCCAGGGCCGUGUGCACCUGCCACCCUCACGGCCGGGCGGGCCUCCCGCCUUCUAGCAGGAGGGCACGCCUCCUGGAUUCCAAGGGUGGGUGUCAGGUGGACCUCACCCUCUGCCCGCAAGGCCUUUUCUUCAUUCAGGUUGACAGCAUUUAUUUAUUUGAGAACGAUAAUGUAACACAGAAGUGGUUCAGGAAAUUUGAACUACAUGGAGUUUUCCCCGCAUGGCACAGUUGUCCGGAGCCUCGGCACAGAGAUGCCUACGUUCAGGUUGUAUGUUUCCCCUUGGCUUCGGGGCUUUUAAAAAUAGGAAUGAUGGCACCCGGCUGGCUUAGUCGAGAACACCACUCUUGGGGGUUGGGAGUUCCAGGCCCACGUUGGGCAAGGAGACUGCUUAAAUACAAAAUCUUUAAAAAAAAAAAAAAAAAAAACCACAAACAGUGCCCAUCAAGCAGCUUAAUCUGGUUGUGACUGGAGCGGAUGUAAUCUGGACGAAUUUGGUGCCAUUGAGAGAGGGCUCCUGGGGACGGGGCCAUGGGCUGCAGGGCUCGGGACCCAUGACAAGCUGGUGCCGGACCGACAGACAGAGCUCCACCUCCCGAGCCCUGCAGGGAGAAGCCGGAGCAGGGGAGGGCAGGCCCGAGGGCAGAGUGAACGAGCGGUAGCGCUGUGGGGCCUCUGCCUCCCGUCCCACUAGGGCUGCCGCGUGCCAGCCAGGAUGCCACUGUCCCACCUUCGGUGAAGUGUCUCCAGUGGGGUGUUUGGGGGGAGCACCCAGGUCACUCCCAAGGGAUGUAGGUAGAACGUGGCUGAGGCCCGUGUGUCCCUCCCUGUAUUUUUCCUGCUUGCACACUUAGGCCAAGUGGACGGAGGAUGGUGUGUUCCUGCCUUUGACAUUAGGCGGCUCCUUUCUGCAGGCUCAGGACCCCACACGGUGCUCUCGCGCUCCUCCUGCGACCCCGUGCGUCCCAGCUCUGGCCCCCCGGCUUCUGUGACCCGCCUAUCACAUGCAGGUCCCAGGAGCGUUCCCACGGGCGGGCCGAGGGACGAAGGCAGCAGGCCCACCGACGGGUCCCCGGUGGGAGGCCACAUCCACGAGGAAAGGUCACAAACGGUCCAGCUGACAGCUUACUCUGACCUGGUGUGGCGAGAACCAGGAGGUCAGCUUCUGUUGCUGCAAGUCUGAAGGUGGGAAAUCAAAGUGAUGCCAGCCUCAGACGGAAUCAGGUGCCCCGGGAGCCCUCUGCUUUGUCGGCCUGCUGUGGCGGCCGGUGAGCGUGUGCCCGCUUGUGCUGCGGCGGCCCCGAGCUCGUGAGCAACGCGCAGCUCCGUGGCCGGCCCCGCUGACCUCAGGCCAGUGAGACACCCCUUACCCGGACUCACAGACAUGGGGGAGCAGUGCCGUGAAGCGUGUCCCAGGCACCCGGGAGGAAGCCGUGUCGGCCGUGGCCAGCCGAGGAAGUGGCCGGAGGGAGGGGACAGCGCCCGAGAAGCGGGAGCAGUCAGCGUGGCAGGAGCCCCCGGGGACAGGUGACGCACGGCCACAAAAGGGUCCCGAUGGAGAUGCGUGGGCAGCAGCCCCGUGGAGUCCCUGACGUGGAACCCGGCCGAUGGUGUUUCCAGGGAAUUUGGUGGGUGCCCGGGGUCCCAGCAGAGGCGGGGUCACGGAUCCCCCCGGGACCAUGCCCGUGGCAGGCACGUGGCCCUGGCCGUGCGAGUCGAGGGUUGCCCUGGUCAUGACCAGGCGGGAUAGCUGGGAUUGGACGGAACGCUAGUGACCCCAGGACCUUUCUUGGAAAUUGCUUUUUUCAACAGAGCCCUGACAGGUUUGUUUCCCUUUGCAUCUGCAGCCACUAGCGAGUUCAAACCUAAACCUGGGUCAUCCCGGCUCCUCCUGCAUCAGGGUGCUGCAUGCUGUGCUGGGACCGGGUGGCUGCGUGAGCUGUGCUCCAGCUGACCCUGAGGGUCCGCCUUCUCUGCCGGGCUCUCUGAGGGCUGGAAGUUUGCGCUUUCCCUGGGCGUCCUUGAAUCCAGUUCCCGGUACCUGUGUAGCCACCCCACCGUGAUCGGGAGUCUCCGGGCUUGGUUGGGCCUCUCCUGGCAGAGGUGACCUCUGAGGCCCGGCCCGGAAGGGUUUCCAGCUCCAGUUUGGGAGCUGCUUGGUGAGGCCCGGACCCUCCUGGCUUUCCCGGGGACGCUCCCGUUCCGCUGGGGACGACUCACCCCAGAGUGUUGGUGGUCACCCACCCAGGCGGCUGCCCAGACCUGCAGGGAGUCAGCCCAAUGUGCUGUGGCUGCUGACCCCCACCCUGCCCCUCGGACUCACCUGUGUGCUCCUAGGAAAGAGCCAGAAUACAGAAGGUCUGCAGCCUUGCAGUCUCCGGAGGAGGGCAGCAUUCUUGCCAGGGUUGUCGAGAAUCGAGGAGGAUGGAGCCGUCACCCCCAUGGCACAUGCUGGGCCCCUGAGGCCCCCAGCUCCCCGAGUCCAUCGGUCUGGAGACAGACCUUUGGCAGAAGACGGAAGGGAACGGGAAGCUAGGUCAUACGCGGAGGAGGUGAUCCCAUCCCCCAUGGUCUUCCGGACCUUGCCACCACCCUUCAAAGGUGACCAUGCUCCUCGGCUGUUGCAACCAGAGGUUUCUCUCCCCGCAGGCCCAGGGGCCCCCUGCUAGUGAAGCCGGCACCGGCAAACGUGGGAACACACGGAAGGAUU
Long non-coding RNA from Herpailurus yagouaroundi (jaguarundi), 5487 nucleotides. RefSeq lists it as uncharacterized. Lineage: Eukaryota; Metazoa; Chordata; Mammalia; Carnivora; Felidae. The transcript has 4 exons. The record is from RefSeq and is a predicted model, not a curated record.